RNAcentral lists this ribosomal RNA (253 nucleotides) under uncultured bacterium. RNAcentral describes it as "partial 16S ribosomal RNA". It matches the Rfam family "Bacterial small subunit ribosomal RNA", at positions 524 to 776 of the family's 1533-position model. The record is from RNAcentral.
UACGUAGGCAGCAAGCGUUGUUCGGAGUUACUGGGCGUAAAGGGUGCGUAGGCGGCUCUAUAAGUAUGGUGUGAAAUCUCCCGGCUUAACUGGGAGGGUGCGCCGUAGACUGUGGGGCUAGAGUGUGGGAGAGGAAAGUGGAAUUCCUGGUGUAGCGGUGAAAUGCGUAGAUAUCAGGAGGAACACCGGUGGUGUAAACGGCUUUCUGGGCCAUAACUGACGCUGAGGCACGAAAGCGUGGGUAGCAAACAGG